AAGACUAUACUUUCAGGGAUCAUUUCUAUAGUUCUUUACUAGAGAAGUUCCUCUGAACGUGUAGGGCACCCGAAACCACGAGGAGGAGGUGCAGUGUUCUUUCCUGAGCGUGAAGCUGGCUUCAGAUGCUGUUUUCUUGCAGCUGUUUGGUGCCAUUGAUGAUCGUUCUCCUUUCUCUUUGGGAAAGGUAGAGGGAAAGAACACAAUCUGAGUGGU
Erinaceus europaeus (western European hedgehog) is the source of this 216-nucleotide non-coding RNA. Lineage: Eukaryota; Metazoa; Chordata; Mammalia; Eulipotyphla; Erinaceidae. The record is from Rfam.